RNAcentral lists this transfer RNA (28 nucleotides) under Alytes muletensis (Mallorcan midwife toad). Its description in RNAcentral is "partial tRNA-Asn". Lineage: Eukaryota; Metazoa; Chordata; Amphibia; Anura; Alytidae. RNAcentral also lists the same sequence under 5 other names. The record is from RNAcentral.
CUAGAAAGACGGGCUACGACCCCGCGAC